UAUUCGAAGGCUGACGUGAACCCGUUUUCAAUUGUUGUCCUCUGCCAAAUAUAAGUUAAAGGCAUCAUGCAAAGUUCUUAGAGGGAACCGAGCGCCGACGUUUUCUUGUUCGACUGACGUAAAGGGUUGACGUGGCACCUCGCUAUGACAUAGUUGUUAAUUAACAUGUUAAUCUAACUUUUUCCCUUAAACCAUUAAAGUUUUAUUAACAUGUUAAUCUAACUUUUUCCCUUAAACCAUUAAAGUUCUAUAGCAGAUUCAAAUAAGGCAGAGAAAAAUUAAUAAUCUAAAUAUUUAAUUUAUGAUUUUGCUCAGCUGUGUUUUAUUGUUUCAGCGUUUCACGCGGGAGUCAUUCAUUAAAAACAGGAAUUUAUCAGGGGACAAUUAAUAAUUGCUCAUCAGUGAAAACUUUUCAUUUUGGUGCUUAGAUGCUAUUUUUGAAUAGCUGAAGUCAUACAUCUACCUGAACAAAUUAAUUAGCUGCUAUCUGAAGCUGACGUGAACAUACUUUCCUUUGUCCCUCUUUUGUACCAACCAAACAAGAAAAAACAGCAAUUUUAAAAUGUUUCGAUCUAACUUAACUUUUCCAACAUUAGCUCUUCUUAACUUCUUGAUAAUUUGUUGUUUGAGCAGCUCAGCGCAACCAGGUAGAGGAGAUGGUUUUCCGGAGUGGCGUCCCUUGCAUACUUACGAAGGAGAUGCACUUUUGUACAGCAGACUCAUCGACGGUUUGCGAAAUGGAGAAAUGGAACAGAUCGAAACCAUGCAUCAGCCGCGAAGUCAAUGGAAACGAAUGUUGGAAAAACGACCAUUUGGCAACUACUUUCCACGUGACGGACAAAAGAAAACGGCGAGCAUGUAUUGAAAGCAGGAAUCAAGUACAAAUAGCUUCUAGCUGCAAUCGAUCACUUGACACUCAGCGGCUCGUAUUCAGAGAUUGGAUCAAAUGAAUUUUAGAUUGUUUUAAAUUAUUCUAAAAAUUGUCAUACAACCACUUUCUAAUUCACUCUCCGAAUCACUA
Long non-coding RNA from Symsagittifera roscoffensis, 1021 nucleotides. RefSeq lists it as uncharacterized. The transcript has 2 exons. Lineage: Eukaryota; Metazoa; Xenacoelomorpha; Acoela; Convolutidae. The record is from RefSeq and is a predicted model, not a curated record.